RNAcentral lists this transfer RNA (58 nucleotides) under Chaetoceros neogracilis. It matches the Rfam family "tRNA", at positions 10 to 63 of the family's 71-position model. Rfam says of the family: Transfer RNA (tRNA) molecules are approximately 80 nucleotides in length. Their secondary structure includes four short double-helical elements and three loops (D, anti-codon, and T loops). The record is from RNAcentral. Lineage: Eukaryota; Bacillariophyta; Thalassiosirophyceae; Chaetocerotales; Chaetocerotaceae.
UCGUCUAGUGGUUAGGACGCCAGGUUUUCAUCCUGGAAACAGGAGUUCGAUUCUCCUA